GWCRGGKURSSYAWACAUGCAAGWCGARSGCUUYGUGGUUCAACUGAUUUGAAGAGCUUGCUCAGAUAUGACGAUGGACAUUGCAAAGAGUGGCGAACGGGUGAGUAACACGUGGGAAACCUACCUCUUAGCAGGGGAUAACAUUUGGAAACAGAUGCUAAUACCGUAUAACAAUGACAACCGCAUGGUUGUUAUUUAAAAGAUGGUUCUGCUAUCACUAAGAGAUGGUCCCGCGGUGCAUUAGCUAGUUGGUAAGGUAAUGGCUUACCAAGGCGAUGAUGCAUAGCCGAGUUGAGAGACUGAUCGGCCACAAUGGGACUGAGACACGGCCCAUACUCCUACGGGAGGCAGCAGUAGGGAAUCUUCCACAAUGGGCGAAAGCCUGAUGGAGCAACSCCGCGUGUGUGAUGAAGGGUUUCGGCUCGUAAAACACUGUUGUAAGAGAAGAAUGACAUUGAGAGUAACUGUUCAAUGUGUGACGGUAUCUUACCAGAAAGGAACGGCUAAAUACGUGCCAGCAGCCGCGGUAAUACGUAUGUUCCAAGCGUUAUCCGGAUUUAUUGGGCGUAAAGCGAGCGCAGACGGUUAUUUAAGUCUGAAGUGAAAGCCCUCAGCUCAACUGAGGAAUUGCUUUGGAAACUGGAUGACUUGAGUGCAGUAGAGGAAAGUGGAACUCCAUGUGUAGCGGUGAAAUGCGUAGAUAUAUGGAAGAACACCCAGUGGCGAAGGCGGCUUUCUGGACUGUAACUGACGUUGARGCUCGAAAGUGUGGGUAGCAMACAGGAUUAGAUACCCUGGYAGUCCACAACCGUAAACGAAUGAGUGCUAGGUGUUUGAGGGUUUCCGCCCUUAAGUGCCGCARCWAACRCAAUWAAGCACUCCGCCCUGGGGGARUACRACCGCAAGGUUGAAACUCAAAGGAAAUUGAACGGGGACCCCGCACAARCCGGUGGRAGMAUGUGGUUUAAUUCRAAGRMACGCGAARAAACCUUACCMRGGYCUUGAACAUCCCUUGACAACUUCCARARAUGGARCGMUCCCCUUYCSGSGAACAAGGU
RNAcentral lists this ribosomal RNA (1058 nucleotides) under Weissella sp. RNAcentral describes it as "partial 16S ribosomal RNA". Lineage: Bacteria; Bacillati; Bacillota; Bacilli; Lactobacillales; Lactobacillaceae. The record is from RNAcentral.